CGGAGGAAAAGAAACCAACAGGGAUUGCCUUAGUAACGGCGAGUGAAGCGGCAAAAGCUCAAAUUUGAAAUCUGGCACCUUCGGUGUCCGAGUUGUAAUUUGAAGAAGGUAACUUUGGAGUUGGCUCUUGUCUAUGUUCCUUGGAACAGGACGUCACAGAGGGUGAGAAUCCCGUGCGAUGAGAUGCCCAAUUCUAUGUAAAGUGCUUUCGAAGAGUCGAGUUGUUUGGGAAUGCAGCUCUAAGUGGGUGGUAAAUUCCAUCUAAAGCUAAAUAUUGGCGAGAGACCGAUAGCGAACAAGUACAGUGAUGGAAAGAUGAAAAGAACUUUGAAAAGAGAGUGAAAAAGUACGUGAAAUUGUUGAAAGGGAAGGGCUUGAGAUCAGACUUGGUAUUUUGCGAUCCUUUCCUUCUUGGUUGGGUUCCUCGCAGCUUACUGGGCCAGCAUCGGUUUGGAUGGUAGGAUAAUGACUAAGGAAUGUGGCUCUACUUCGGUGGAGUGUUAUAGCCUUGGUUGAUACUGCCUGUCUAGACCGAGGACUGCGUCUUUUGACUAGGAUGUUGGCAUAAUGAUCUUAAGCCACCCGUCUUGAAACACGG
This 598-nucleotide ribosomal RNA is filed under the name Debaryomyces hansenii. RNAcentral describes it as "eukaryotic LSU rRNA". It matches the Rfam family "Eukaryotic large subunit ribosomal RNA", at positions 51 to 664 of the family's 3401-position model. Lineage: Eukaryota; Fungi; Ascomycota; Pichiomycetes; Serinales; Debaryomycetaceae. The record is from RNAcentral.